GCUGUGGAACUCCUACGGGAGGCAGCAGUGGGGAAUAUUGCACAAUGGGGGAAACCCUGAUGCAGCGACGCAGCGUGCGGGAUGACGGCCUUCGGGUUGUAAACCGCUUUCAGCAGGGAAGAAGCGCAAGUGACGGUACCUGCAGAAGAAGUACCGGCUAACUACGUGCCAGCAGCCGCGGUAAUACGUAGGGUACGAGCGUUGUCCGGAAUUAUUGGGCGCGAAGAGCUCGUAGGUGGUUGGUCACGUCUGCUGUGGAAACGCAACGCUUAACGUUGCGCGUGCAGUGGGUACGGGCUGACUAGAGUGCAGUAGGGGAGUCUGGAAUUCCUGGUGUAGCGGUGAAAUGCGCAGAUAUCAGGAGGAACACCGGGGGCGAAGGCGGGACUCUGGGCUGUAACUGACACUGAGGAGCGAAAGCAUGGGGAGCGAACAGGAUUAGAUACCCCGGUAGUCCUACCACGU
This 465-nucleotide ribosomal RNA is filed under the name uncultured bacterium. RNAcentral describes it as "bacterial SSU rRNA". It matches the Rfam family "Bacterial small subunit ribosomal RNA", at positions 327 to 804 of the family's 1533-position model. The record is from RNAcentral.